RNAcentral lists this small nuclear RNA (162 nucleotides) under Echinops telfairi (small Madagascar hedgehog). RNAcentral describes it as "U1 spliceosomal RNA (ENSETEG00000021508.1)". It matches the Rfam family "U1 spliceosomal RNA". From Rfam's summary of the family: U1 is a small nuclear RNA (snRNA) component of the spliceosome (involved in pre-mRNA splicing). Its 5' end forms complementary base pairs with the 5' splice junction, thus defining the 5' donor site of an intron. The record is from RNAcentral. Lineage: Eukaryota; Metazoa; Chordata; Mammalia; Afrosoricida; Tenrecidae.
AUACUUACCUGGCAGGGGAGAUACCAUGAUCACAAAGGUGGUUUUCCCAAGGCGAGGCUCAUCCAUUGCACUCCGAAUGUGCUGACCCCUGCGAUUUCCACAAGUGUGGGAAACUCGACUGCAUGAUUUAUGGCGGUGGGAGACUGCAUCUGCGCUCUCCCC